CGACGAUGAGCACAAAAAUAUAAACUAUUGUAAAUAUUAAAUAAUUGUUAAAAUUAUAUUAUAUUCUUGACAGUUUUCAAAGUUAAACAAGGAAGAAAAAAUGUUAAUUAAUAGAAUAUUAACCUUAAAAGUAAUUCCAAGGAAAGUUGUUUCUUAUUCAGAAAUAACGAGACAACAAUUACACACUGCUAUUAAAUUGCAUUUAUCAAUUUCGUCAAGUUCAUCAGAUUCUUCUGAUUCAAGUUCUGAUUCAGACAAUGAACAAAAAUCAAAACUCCGAUUCUCGUCAAAAUCUGUUAAUUAUUUAAAAGGGCAAAAUAACGAUGACAAUUUUAAUGAAUUUAAGAAAUCAAGUGAUGAAAAAAAAUUGUCGAAAAUUGAUGUCGCAAUUCCUAAAAAACCACCAAGACCUCAAAAAAAUAUAAACUCUCCUCACUCUGAAGAAUUAAAAUUUGAAGAAAAUUUUGCCAAUGCAGCUAAAAAAGUAGCAGAAAAUUUAGGCGGAGAUAUUAAAAAAAUAGAAUCAGAUUUAUUAAACAGGCUUUUAAAACCAAGUGAAACAAAUGAUUCAUCAGAAUCUUCCGAAGAUAUAAGUGAUAUUUUAAAAGGAAUGAAAGUAGAUAAUUCGUAUAAUUUUCAACGAAAUAAAUUACAACGUGUACGUGCUGCUUCUACAAAAAUUGAUAAUCUUAAUGUUGAGUUUAAAGGAGAAUCAAUAAAUAGACGUUAUAGAGAUUUAAAAGGUGAACAAAUGAAUGAAACUAAUGUACAACUAGAACGAAUGAGUAUAUUUAAUGGACAAACUAAAAAGUUUGGAAUUUUGAAAAUACCAACAGACGAAUCACAAGUAUCCGAAUUGACAACUUGGUCACAUUUGGAGAAAAGAGAAUUUAAACUCUUGGAAUGUACACCACCAACUAACUAUUUUCAAGAAAUGAUUCAAUGGACAAAUGAAGGAAAAAUUUGGCAUUUUCCAAUUGAUAAUGAUCAAGGAAUAGUGGAAGAAAAAAAGGUACAUUUCUCUGAACAUGUUUUUAUGGAGCGUCAUUUGAAAGGAUGGUGUCCAAAACACGGUCCAAUUCGACAAUUUAUGGAAUUGGUGUGCGUUGGUCUUUCGAAAAAUGCAUUUAUGACAGUCGAUGAGAAAAUACAACACAUUAUGUGGUAUAAAGAUUACUUUGGUGAUAAACGAGAGUUACUAAAGGAACUUGGCGCACUUGAUAAUGAAAAUCCAUCUGUUUUGCCGAUACCAACAAACAAGAUUGAUUUAGGACCUCAUUAUUAAAUAUUCGCAGUGAUAAAAUAUAGGAUCAGUUGGGGUAAAUGGGGACAAAAUCGCUAUUUUUCACAAAUUACUAUUUUGUCUCGGAUUUAAAAAAAGUUUUUAAUGCAUUGAGCGAUAACUUGAAUUAUCUUGCUGCCAAUUGUCAAGACAAAAACAAAAACUAAUGGAAUGACCAGUGCCAAAUAUUUUGUCUCUCAAAAUGAUAAAAAAAAGUUAAUGUUUAAAUAAUUCACAAUGUCAGCUCUAAUAUAGUGGGAUAUUAUUAUUAUUAUUAUUAUUAUUUUUUUUUACUUUAUCAACUUCACCUCAAACUGCUUUUUGAGGGGUUUUUCGGGAAUAUUGAUUACGAACCUACAAUUACAUUUUCAAAAUCUGAUGUCUUUGUAUUAUUUAUAAUAUUAAUUUGGUCGAAAUUUCGUUUGUCCGAAAAAUCACUUAUCAUAAUAAAAUUUACUGCGAACUUGAAAA
This is an RNA transcript of Leptopilina boulardi, 1753 nucleotides long. It is a transcript of the gene named 28S ribosomal protein S31, mitochondrial, with no coding region annotated. The transcript has 11 exons. NCBI's taxonomy places the organism in Eukaryota, Metazoa, Arthropoda, Insecta, Hymenoptera, Figitidae. The record is from RefSeq and is a predicted model, not a curated record.